CAGUGACAAAACAGAGUCUCCAUUCAGGACCCCCAUCAUACUGUCCUUGUAGACCCUCUCCCUGACCCGGUGCUGGACUUUCAGGAUCAGCUGGCUGUGUUUUGUGUUUGCAGGUCUGUGGUUCUGGGUCUUCCUGUGUUUCUCAGUCCGGACACAUGUUGCUCAUCAGCUCAGACUCUCAGUCUGUUUAUGUCCAAAGCACUGAUGCUAACUUCCCCCCAGACCCUCCUCCUCCUCCUCCUCCUCCUCCUCCUCCUCCUCCUCCUCCCCCCCUCAUGAUGAAGAGGAUGUUUAAAGCAGAGACACUCAGGCAUUCAGCCUGAAACCACCCACACUCCGCUUAGGUCGGACCUCCGACCUCCACCUUCAUCCUGAUGGUCUCCUAAAAGGUCGUAUCCUCCGAUCGUAGCUGAUCGUAACCAUUCAAGUUAACGUGUCAAUUUACACCGACUUCUUUCCGUUCCUCUGCGGAUCGCCGGACUCCUCAGCUGAUCACAAGAGUUCUAUUUUUUCUGGACGCCGGAGCAUGGCGGAUAAAUUCAGCACAGAUUAACCCGUGCUGGAAAGGAAGUCGGGCACAGACACAAAAUAAAACAUCCGGCUUCUUUUCAAAAUAAAACACUCCGUGUUUCAGGAGGAUCGUAUUUCACACCAUGCAAACGGGCGGAGACGAACAAGUGAAAGGUUUUUAGACGUCAUUUCACCCCGAUGACACCAUGGAUGAGGAGAUGCUGAUUCUAGAAGUCUAGAAGUAGAUUUCCUCCUCUGGAAGGACACAAUCUACUGCUUAUAUGUCUAUGUGUCUGUCUUUAGAGAGACGACUCUUCAUCAUAUUGAAUGUAACGUCUGUAAUCCGCCACAAAAUUCGCCUCACUAACGGAUCCGGUAGGAACUGGCGGACGGUGAAAAUCGCCGCCGUUCCAGAUCGCAGCUGUUCUGGAUGCGGUGAAGAUUGGAGGUUCCUCUGACCGCAGGUCGAAUACUUCAGCGUUCUCCGCAGUCAGGCUUGGAUCCACAUUUGGACAGAGUUCUCGAACUGCUCCAGCUUGUGGUUGUUGGAUGUCCUUCACAGUUGCUCGUACCAUCUCUAAUCUGAUCUCAUAUUUCAUUUAAGUGUCUUGUAGCUCCGCCUCUUUGUGCGCCGCUGAGAUCAUGCUCGUGAUGAUUGAUCCUUCUCGCUCCUGUUCCUCUCUUUGUUUCUUUCUGACAUGGUGAAACUUUAUUAAAGUGAAGACAAAGGGAGGGUAGAAGAGGCCAAAUGACCACGGAGAAGGUCUGGAGGCAGACGUUCACGUCUGCUCCAUCAGGGUCCACUCAGACUGAGGGUCAACUCCUAGUCCAGGAUCUGGUUCAGGUGAUCCGUGGAGAUCUUUAAUCUUUUUCUUCAGUUUCUCUUUUUCUCAUAUAACCUGAGUGUAACAUCACUCUUCUACCCCUCACCUCCUCCUCCUCCUCCUCCUUCCUUCUGGCCUGGACAGACUAGAAGAGAAGGCCUGAAGGAGCAAGGGGAGGAGGAGGAGGAGGAGGCGCAGCAGCCAUGUGUUUCUCAUUAAAGGCAGCGGAAAUAAGUGCUGACCCGUUCGCUCAGGAGGGCAGAUCCAUUUAGAGCUGCAGAGUCCACAAUCAGAGGUGGACCCAGAGCGGGGCUGGGGGGGGGGAUAAAAAGACAGGAGGGAGAAAAGAAGAGACAGAAGACAAGGAGGCUGAAGAGAGGAGUAACAGGGGGGACAUUUAAGGUGGUCUGGAGGCGUUCAGCAGCUCCUUAAAGGGAUAUUCCAGCAUGAAACUAAGUCAUGGUCAAACCCACCGUAACCCCGAGUUAGACCCCGCCUCCAGAGAUGAAUGUUGUCGACCGCUUGCUUCUCUAGUUAUACCAACUUUAGUAACGACCGCAGGAUAGAAAUACAGAGAGACACGCCCCCAACCAAAACGCCACUCUAUAGCCACCAAUAAUGCUCAGAACAGCACCUAACUUCAUCAACAGGACAUAUAGGGUCACAGACAUAGUACUAGCCACCAAACAUCUUUUUAACUUUGACUCAUUUCUUUAGCAAAGAGACUAAACACAACUCACCUACUCUCUUCCAGCAGCUGCUUGUUUGUAGAGAGACCUCAGGCCAGUCCAUUACAGACUACAGCGGGGUGCCGCAGCUCAAGGAAGAACAUUUAUGAUCAUUUCUUUAUCGUUUCCUUGAAGUAAUAAUCAUCAUAUUAAUCAUUUUACAGAAGCGGUAGUUCUUCUGCGUCUCGGUCUGAUUGUAUUUCCAUGAAGAAAUGAUGAACAUGAAUCAUCCGAAAACCCAGAUCCAUCAGAUCCAUCAGAUCCACAUAUGGAGGAGGGGGGGGCGGGGCGGUGAGUGAUGGCGUCCCUUCGCCCCACUUCCUCCCGCAGCAUCCUUCAUCGUCCUCACCCCCCUGCAGUGUUCAUCACUCUCGUCCACACUCAGGUCACACAUUAGAGCGCACACAAACACACUCACACAAACACACAGACACACACAUUCACACUCACUCACACACACACAAACACACACACUCACUCACUCACUCACACAAACACACUCACUCACACACUCACUCACACUCACACACUCACAGAUUUACACAAAGUUCUUGAUCGUUUUUUAAAGUUUUUUAAAGUUCUCGUCCUGGAGGGUCCGGUCUGUUCUCAGCUCCCAGUCCAAGUUCAGAAUCCCUGAUGGUCUGGGGAUCCUCAUAGUCCAGGUCCUGGGUAUCUUCCAUUAAUGCUGAACCAGAUCUCCAGGUUCAGGACCAACAAUCUGGGUCCAUCCAGACCAGGACUCCUUCAGGGAAGAUCUUUAGAUGAUCCCACCCCUACAAAUCCUGGACCCCUAAGAAAACCUCAGACUAACCCAGGAGGGACAGCAGGUCCUGGGUUCAGGGUCAGCUCUCUCUCUCUCUCUCUCUCUCCUGAACUACUGGAGCCUGUAAGGGUCAAAAAUACUCUGGACUGGUUAUCAGAGAGACCCGUUCAUGGUUUACAGAUGACCCCCUUUAAAGAGCAGACAGUGGUGGGAACAGGAGGACUGGAGGACCUCAGGCUGCCCCCCCGUCCCUCUCUGUGUGGAUUAAAGGUUCUGCUGUAUUACCCAUAAUUCACCAGCAGAGGGCAGCAUGACUCUGUGGUUCUGAAGGUCUGGCUCUGACUCGUCUCCUCAGUUUGAGACUCCAGACUUGAUCUCAGACGUGGUCUCUUCUGGUCUCUUCUGGUCUCUCGUGGUCGCUCUGAUCAGCAGGAAGUGGAUCUUCAUUUCAGCGCCGCUCAGCUGACAGGAAACCACGACGGCGGCUCCUGCCCGUCAUAUCUGCGGUCAGUGGGAUCACAGUGAGUCUGUGAGUUUCUCUGCCGUGUGUCUGAGGUUCAAACCCCGCCCCCCACCAGGCCGCUGUGGUCGAUGAAGACAUUAAAGGCGGCGCUGAGCGCAUCAAGAGGAUUUGUGAGGAUCUCUCCCCCAGAAGGAGCAGAUUUGGCGGCGCGGGCCCCUGACAGCAGCACAUGUUGUGGGAAGAUAGCGAGCGGCGGCGGCGGCACACAAAGGCGGCCCUGAGCCGAGCCCAACGGUGAGAGGCUCCCCGGCAAUCGCUGCCAACCUCAGCCGCCUUGGCGCUGUCGCCCCACGUUAGUCACACCGCAGGAGAUGGGGCCCAGCCGCCGAGGGCCACAAAGGGCCACAAAGGGCCAUAAUGGACCCUCUGACUGCAGCGCCACAGAAAAGCUCCUGUCUGAACCCCCCCAGAAGAAGAAGAAGAAGAAGAAGAAGAACUUUAUUGAUCCCUGAAGGGAAAUUCAAUCGUCUGUCGUCUCCAUAAAACGUCUCUAAAGUUUUCUGUUAUUUACAGAAGAGUUCUAAAGUCUGAUGGUCCAAAGAUCUUCUGAAUCUUUCUGUCCUUCAGUGAAGAGAGAGGAGCCGUCCACCACCAUCGGUCCUGUGGUCCAUCAAGGUGUUGUGAAGUGGGUGAUCCAUGUUCUUUAGAGUAGACUCCACCUUCAUCAGUGUAGAUCUCUCCACCACAUCCUCCACAGAGUCCAGCCUCGUUCACCAGUUUGUUCAGACGUCUCCAUCUUUGUGUUUGAUGCAGCGUAGAACAGAACACUGUAGAUCUACACCACAGACUGAUCAAACAUCUGAAGCAUCUAACUACAGACGUCUAUGAUCGGAGUCUUCUCAGGCUAAAGAGGCGGAUGAAGUCUAGAUUCUUAGACCAGUCCAACUUAUUAUCCAGAUCUACACCGAGAUAUUUAUGUCACCACUUAGAUGUCCACUCCACAGGUGUUCAAUUAUGAUUAUUAAUAUGUUCAGAUAAAUAUAAUGAGAUAUUAUUAUUAUUAUUAUUAUUAUUAUAUUCAGAUAAAUAUGAGAUAUUAUUAUUAUUAUUAUUAUUAUCAGUUUGAUUAUUGAACUCUAAAAUAUAGGAAACCAUCAAAAAGUGUUUUUAAUAUUUUUGUUAAACACAUCUGAAGCUUUUGAUGUGCAUCGCUGUGAUUGGCUGAGUGUUCGUCCAAUCAGGAGGCAGUUCUGUGACAUCGAACAAAGCUGCUGACGAGCUUCUGAUCAAUCACCUCCAGGUUUUAAUUAAUGCAGCAAUCCCAUUGGAUCCAGCCCAGAUGUGUGUGUGUGUGUGUGUGUGUGUGUGUCUCCAGUGUGUGUGUGUGUGUGUGUGUUUGUGUGUGUGUGUCUCCAGCUGGGUGUGCAGACUCUCUGUUUUUACGUGAACAGCUGGUGGGUCUCCUCUGUUGUUUUCAGGUUGUGUUCGGGGGGAGACUGCACAUCUGUUUGAGUGUGUGUGUGUGUGUGUGUGUGUGUGUGUGUGUGUGUGUGUGUGUUCAGGUGAAUUCGCUCCAUUAUAAACACAACGAGUCGAUUAAAGUCUCCGUCUGUCUCUCGGUGCCCGUUUGAGUCUUGGUGUUGAACUCUUCGCCCUCCUCUUCCUCUCUCGCUGUUUCAAACUUCCUGUCAGCGUCAUAGAUUUGAUGUGACGCUCUGGUGUUUUUUCACUCGUGUGUCUGUGUGUCUGUGUGUGUGUGUGUGUGUGUCUGUGUGUGUGACGUGUUGUUGAAGGAACCGUCACAGCUUCAUACAUGAGCCUCUGAGUGAUUGAGCACCAUGACGUCAAACUCGUGUUUCAGCCUUUAAAAAGAUGAGCAUUAUUCCUUUAUGAAGACUCCUCCUUCAUUCAUUCAUUCAUUCAUUCAUUCAUUCAUUCAUCGAUGUCCUCACACCGACUCUCUAACAGGUUCAGUCUUUGUUGGUUUGAUAAAACAGCUGUUUCAUGUUCCCUCUUUAACCUCGGAGGGAAACUCGGGUUUGAGACGUUUCUCCACAGAAGUCACCUGUUAUGAUGUCAUCAUUCACCUGGAAAGUUCCUGGUACCUGCACAGCUCUGUUCACCAAGAGUAACCCCCCAAUUUUCAUCCAGAGCGGCACCGAUCUGAAAUGGCUCUGAGCUCUGUCGUCUGCCAGUUCCUACAGGAUCCGGUUCGUGAGGAGAAUUUCGUGAAGGAUAACAGACAGAAGGAAUCAGGAGAACUCCCAAGAACCUGCAGAUUCACGUUCAAUCACACGAUAACGAGUUGUCUCUCUAAAGACAGACACAUAGACAUAUAAGCAGUAGAUUGUGUCCUUCCAGAGGAGGAAAUCUACUUCUAGACUUCUAGAAUCAGCAUCUCCUCAUCCAUGGUGUCAUCGGGGUGAAAUGACGUCUAAAAACCUUUCACUUGUUCGUCUCCGCCCGUUUUGAAAGAAGUCGGUGUAAAUCGACACGUUAACUUGAAUGGUUACGAUCAGCUACGAUCGGAGGAUACGACCUUUUAGGAGACGAUCAGGAUGAAGGUGGAGGUCGGGGGUAAAAUCACCGACAAUGAGGGGAAAGUGCAGAAACACAGAGCGGACUUCGUAAACCAGGUCAGAGCAG
Non-coding RNA from Xyrichtys novacula (pearly razorfish), 5934 nucleotides. The record is from the annotation of a GenBank genome assembly. Lineage: Eukaryota; Metazoa; Chordata; Actinopteri; Labriformes; Labridae.